RNAcentral lists this long non-coding RNA (604 nucleotides) under Homo sapiens (human). RNAcentral's name for it is "non-protein coding RNASEH1-AS1:29". Lineage: Eukaryota; Metazoa; Chordata; Mammalia; Primates; Hominidae. The record is from RNAcentral.
CUGGCGCCCGGCACCCACGUGCGGUAACCGCGGCUCCUCGAGAGCUCCAGGGAUGCGGAUCUACAGUAAGGGCUGUGGCCAGAUGAAUGAAUGCACAUUUUUUAGUGGGCAGAAAGAUGUUAGAAUUCAUGAAUUAGAAUAAGCACAAAGGAGGGCGAGAGGGGAGGCCGUGGAAGCCGCAUUCCUCCCCUUGCCUUGGGCGCCCACCCCCGAAGGGGCGCGUCCCCUCCCUGCUCCACUGCACGUGGGUGUUUAACCAGGGGAUAUCCAGUGCCUCAAGCACCACGACCCGGGAGAAAACUGAGUUGAGAAGGCCUUGGGGAUGAAGGUGAGAAAUUCGAGAAUCCCCGGAGAUAACACAUCAGCAAAUAGUGCGCAGGCAGAACAAGCUGUUGGAGGUGAGAGACACAGAGCAGAGAAGCACCCGCACCUGGAGAGUCAGGAGGGCCUCACAUCAGAACGCCUGAGCAAAUACAGUUUUGAAGGAUACUAAUUUUUUAAAAAGUUCAUUCACAUGAGUUAGACAAAGAGAAAGAAGCAGGACAUUCUAGGAAGAAGGAACGGCCCAGGCAAAAGCGACGCGUACAUUGGCGUGGUACGUUGG